UUUCUCCUGAAAAGCCUGUUGACAGAUAAAACUGAGGUCCUCUCCUUUAUGUUAUUUGCUUCUUUUCUCUGGCUGGUUUUAGAAUCUUCUGUUUGUCCCUGACCUUUGAGAGUUUAAUUGCUCAGUGCCCUGAAGUAG
This is a long non-coding RNA of Sapajus apella (tufted capuchin), 138 nucleotides long. RefSeq lists it as uncharacterized. NCBI's taxonomy places the organism in Eukaryota, Metazoa, Chordata, Mammalia, Primates, Cebidae. The record is from RefSeq and is a predicted model, not a curated record. The transcript is spliced from 3 exons.